This 71-nucleotide transfer RNA is filed under the name Loxodonta africana (African savanna elephant). It matches the Rfam family "tRNA". Rfam says of the family: Transfer RNA (tRNA) molecules are approximately 80 nucleotides in length. Their secondary structure includes four short double-helical elements and three loops (D, anti-codon, and T loops). Further hydrogen bonds mediate the characteristic L-shaped molecular structure. tRNAs have two regions of fundamental functional importance: the anti-codon, which is responsible for specific mRNA codon recognition, and the 3' end, to which the tRNAs corresponding amino acid is attached (by aminoacyl-tRNA synthetases). tRNAs cope with the degeneracy of the genetic code in two manners: having more than one tRNA (with a specific anti-codon) for a particular amino acid; and 'wobble' base-pairing, i.e. permitting non-standard base-pairing at the 3rd anti-codon position. The record is from Rfam by way of RNAcentral. Lineage: Eukaryota; Metazoa; Chordata; Mammalia; Proboscidea; Elephantidae.
GCAGUGGUAGUUUGGUGGUAGAAUUCUUGUCUCCCGUGCAGGAGACCUGGGUUCGAUUCACAGCCAAUGCA